This 69-nucleotide transfer RNA is filed under the name Monodelphis domestica (gray short-tailed opossum). It matches the Rfam family "tRNA". From Rfam's summary of the family: Transfer RNA (tRNA) molecules are approximately 80 nucleotides in length. Their secondary structure includes four short double-helical elements and three loops (D, anti-codon, and T loops). Further hydrogen bonds mediate the characteristic L-shaped molecular structure. tRNAs have two regions of fundamental functional importance: the anti-codon, which is responsible for specific mRNA codon recognition, and the 3' end, to which the tRNAs corresponding amino acid is attached (by aminoacyl-tRNA synthetases). tRNAs cope with the degeneracy of the genetic code in two manners: having more than one tRNA (with a specific anti-codon) for a particular amino acid; and 'wobble' base-pairing, i.e. permitting non-standard base-pairing at the 3rd anti-codon position. The record is from Rfam by way of RNAcentral. Lineage: Eukaryota; Metazoa; Chordata; Mammalia; Didelphimorphia; Didelphidae.
GCAAAUAUAGUUUAAUGAAAACAUUAGAUUGUGAAUCUAAGCAUAGAAGUUUAAACCUUCUUAUAUGCC